Molecule: unclassified non-coding RNA, 234 nt
Filed under: Hevea brasiliensis (rubber tree)
Lineage: Eukaryota; Viridiplantae; Streptophyta; Magnoliopsida; Malpighiales; Euphorbiaceae
Source: RNAcentral
AUAAAAUAACACUCUUUCCUCAUUUUAAAACCUUAUCCAUACACUCCACACAGAAAAGAAAAAUUAUAUUUUGACGAAAGGGUUGCUCGAAUGGUAAGCAUCCUCCAUCUCCACCUCCACCUCCAACCCCGUGGCCGUGGUUUCGAAUCACCGAAAGCAAAAAGGGUGGGAGGUUAAAAAGACAAAUCUUUUUUUCUCUUUUUGGUCAAUAACUGUAACCAACAUGGUCCAAAA